GGUUAAGCGACUAAGCGUACACGGUGGAUGCCCUGGCAGUCAGAGGCGAUGAAGGACGUGCUAAUCUGCGAAAAGCGCCGGUAAGGUGAUAUGAACCGUUAUAGCCGGCGAUGUCCGAAUGGGGAAACCCAGUGCAAUCCGUUGCACUAUCACAGCAUGA
RNAcentral lists this ribosomal RNA (160 nucleotides) under Kosakonia cowanii. RNAcentral describes it as "partial 23S ribosomal RNA". It matches the Rfam family "Bacterial large subunit ribosomal RNA", at positions 1 to 161 of the family's 2925-position model. The record is from RNAcentral. Lineage: Bacteria; Pseudomonadati; Pseudomonadota; Gammaproteobacteria; Enterobacterales; Enterobacteriaceae.